UACGUAGGGUGCAAGCGUUAAUCGGAAUUACUGGGCGUAAAGCGUGCGCAGGUGGUCAUGUAAGACAGAUGUGAAAUCCCCGGGCUUAACCUGGGAAUUGCAUUUGUGACUGCAUGGCUAGAGUGUGGCAGAGGGGGAUGGAAUUCCGCGUGUAGCAGUGAAAUGCGUAGAUAUGCGGAGGAACACCGAUGGCGAAGGCAGUCCCCUGGGCCUGCACUGACACUCAAGCACGAAAGCGUGGGGAGCAAACAGG
RNAcentral lists this ribosomal RNA (253 nucleotides) under uncultured bacterium. Its description in RNAcentral is "partial 16S ribosomal RNA". It matches the Rfam family "Bacterial small subunit ribosomal RNA", at positions 524 to 776 of the family's 1533-position model. The record is from RNAcentral.